Molecule: ribosomal RNA, 110 nt
Filed under: Aquipseudomonas alcaligenes
Lineage: Bacteria; Pseudomonadati; Pseudomonadota; Gammaproteobacteria; Pseudomonadales; Pseudomonadaceae
Source: RNAcentral
UGACGACCAUAGAGCGUUGGAACCACCUGAUCCCAUCCCGAACUCAGUAGUGAAACGACGCAUCGCCGAUGGUAGUGUGGGGCUUCCCCAUGUGAGAGUAGGUCAUCGUC